UCGGGCCUCUUGCCAUCGGAUGUGCCCAGAUGGGAUUAGCUAGUAGGUGGGGUAACGGCUCACCUAGGCGACGAUCCCUAGCUGGUCUGAGAGGAUGACCAGCCACACUGGAACUGAGACACGGUCCAGACUCCUACGGGAGGCAGCAGUGGGGAAUAUUGCACAAUGGGCGCAAGCCUGAUGCAGCCAUGCCGCGUGUAUGAAGAAGGCCUUCGGGUUGUAAAGUACUUUCAGCGGGGAGGAAGGGAGUAAAGUUAAUACCUUUGCUCAUUGACGUUACCCGCAGAAGAAGCACCGGCUAACUCCGUGCCAGCAGCCGCGGUAAUACGGAGGGUGCAAGCGUUAAUCGGAAUUACUGGGCGUAAAGCGCACGCAGGCGGUUUGUUAAGUCAGAUGUGAAAUCCCCGGGCUCAACCUGGGAACUGCAUCUGAUACUGGCAAGCUUGAGUC
This 450-nucleotide ribosomal RNA is filed under the name Escherichia coli. RNAcentral's name for it is "bacterial SSU rRNA". It matches the Rfam family "Bacterial small subunit ribosomal RNA", at positions 202 to 648 of the family's 1533-position model. The record is from RNAcentral. Lineage: Bacteria; Pseudomonadati; Pseudomonadota; Gammaproteobacteria; Enterobacterales; Enterobacteriaceae.